RNAcentral lists this unclassified non-coding RNA (340 nucleotides) under soil metagenome. RNAcentral's name for it is "partial contains 5.8S ribosomal RNA, internal transcribed spacer 2, and large subunit ribosomal RNA". The stretch from base 1 to 120 matches the Rfam family "5.8S ribosomal RNA", at positions 35 to 154 of the family's 154-position model. The record is from RNAcentral.
GAUGAAGAACGUAGCGAAAUGCGAUACGUAAUGUGAAUUGCAGAAUUCAGUGAAUCAUCGAAUCUUUGAACGCACAUUGCGCCCUUUGGUAUUCCAAAGGGCAUGCCUGUUCGAGCGUCAUUUGUACCCUCAAGCUUUGCUUGGUGUUGGGCGUCUUUUGUCUCCAGUUCGCUGGAGACUCGCCUUAAAGUCAUUGGCAGCCGGCCUACUGGUUUCGGAGCGCAGCACAAGUCGCGCUCUUAGCCAGCCAAGGUCAGCGUCCAGCAAGCCUUUUUUCAACCUUUGACCUCGGAUCAGGUAGGGAUACCCGCUGAACUUAAGCAUAUCAAUAAGCGGAGGA